UCGAUGAUGGAGCCUCCAAAUCGACGAUCGGCACCAUUGAAUAUGAUCUAUACCAUUUGAAGUACAUAGAAAUCAAAUUUCAUACUUUUCCGAUAUUGUUCUCUUAUCCAUCAAGUAGGCGUAAAAAUGAACGGCUGAAAAUGAAUAUCCUCUAAAAAGUGAUGAUAGGAAUUUUGUAAUCAAGAUCGAGAGUAUAGAUCUUAUUCUAAAUAGUUUAAAGAAUUUUCUAACCAAAAUUCAAUUAAUUUGGAUAGCUUUACAUUGUUAAACGAGAAAAUAUCUCAUAUCUAUCAUUAAAAUUAUAAAUUUUGAAACUCUUUGAUCAUUAGGUUAAUGAUGUCGAAAUGAUUUGAAAUUUGGUUUCUAGAUACUUAAAGUGGUAUAGAUCAUGUUCAACGGUCAUGAUCGUCAAUUUAUAGGUUCCAUCAUCGAAAAUAAAUAGGUGGCAACGGAGCCUGUUUGCUAUUGAUAGUAUUCUAGCUCAACUAUAUAUAUAUAUAUAUAUAUAUAUAUAUAUAUAUAGUUGAGCUACUAUACUAUCGGAAGUAUAGAGAAUCUGAUGCUUCCGAUUUUUAGGUCUUUAGAUCAACUUUUUUGAUCAUUUCUAAUUUUUGGAUUAAUACUAUUACCUUGUGGGGAACACUCAACCCUAGGAGUACUACUCAACUCUGAGGGGACUACAAUCAUCCUAACCGUAUAAUUUUUUAUCCAAUGGUCAAAAAGUUGGAAGCAUCAGAUCUUUUAUAAUUCCGAUAGCAUAAUAGCUCUACACUAUAUAUAUAUAUAUAUAUAUAUAUAUUAUAGCUACUAUACUAUUGAUAGUAACAAGCCUUUGGUACUAUUCAGUUUUCUACCGUUAGAUCUAUCCUUUGAUCAUUUCCACCUGUUAGAUUAUACUAUUAAACCAACCACCCACUC
Molecule: long non-coding RNA, 918 nt
Filed under: Ananas comosus (pineapple)
Lineage: Eukaryota; Viridiplantae; Streptophyta; Magnoliopsida; Poales; Bromeliaceae
Description: long non-coding RNA (ACOM_LNC005989)
Source: RNAcentral